Thunnus maccoyii (southern bluefin tuna) is the source of this 1396-nucleotide long non-coding RNA. RefSeq lists it as uncharacterized. The transcript has 3 exons. NCBI's taxonomy places the organism in Eukaryota, Metazoa, Chordata, Actinopteri, Scombriformes, Scombridae. The record is from RefSeq and is a predicted model, not a curated record.
UUAAGCCCUCCUUUCUACUCUACAGGGGUCAACUGUUUUGGCCCUUUCACAGUUAAAGUUGGGAACCACUGGAGCAGUGCACCUUGAGCUCCUUACUUCUAUGGAUUCAGAUGCCUUGUUGCUUGCUCUCAAGAGAUUCAUUGCACAGCGAGGCAAGCCAAAAGAUUCACUUUCAGAUAGAGGUAUCAAAUUCCAUGGAGCUGUAAGGGAGCCACAUGAGACAUUCCAAGCUGUAGAGCCAGAGCUGCAAGAGAAACUCAGCCAAUAUCAACUCUUCUUCAAAUUCUCCCAAGUUACUGUUGGAAGUCAACCAAUGUCAGAGUAAGUUCUUGCCACUGUAUUGUUUUGAAGUUGAGGGCAUCCACAAUUCUAAGCCAUUCGGAUACACUUCAUCUGAUGUGGCUGACUUGGACCCCAUCACUCCCAACAUGCUACUGAUGGGGCGGCGUGACGCUUCCCUACCUCAAGUUGCUUAUGCACCAGAUUUCAUGGGGCAGCAUAGGUGGCACCAGAGACAAAUUUUGGCUGAUCAGUUUGGACCCAUUUCAUCUAGGACUAUCUGCCAACUCUACAAUCACAGCAGAAAUGAGAAAAGCCGUCAGAGAACCUGGAGUUGGAUACAGUUAUUCUCAUAAUGGAUCCACAACUGCCAUUGGCCAAAUAGCCAGUGGGAAAAAUCAUCAAAUUACAUCCAAGUCCCAAUGGUCAUGCAAGAUCAGCCAACAAAAUUCAAAAUCAAACAUACACUAGUCCAGUGGUCCGCUUGAUAACUUGCUUGAUACAGGACUUACCCCCAUGACUAGGACAGCACCCCCAGUAAUUCUUCUGUCACAUUAGCUGAGACUAUGGGAAAGGCUGUUGUGAAUUUCCUCUGUGCUGUUGAGGAACAGUGCCCCUAGAGGGCUUAGAGACAAUUUACCUCUUACGUAACCCUCCUGAUUGGAGUAAAUGACUCCAGGUGUGCUUAGAUGUACUCAGGUUGAAGACUGAUCACUCGUACAGUUCAGAGCAGACAGACCUGGCAUUCAGUUGUCUCUGUGUCUCCAGUCCUGCCUCCCUCAUGCAUUACUUACAAUACGUCCCUGGAUCUGACGUGGCAAGACAUCACAUAUACACACACACACCUCUCUCGGCUGCUAAGUCCCAUUGGCUCUCAUGGCACAAGGAGGAAAACCGAUGAUUAAAUACCCAGCCUGCCGUUUACUCCUCCCAGAUCUCUGUAUUUCACCUGCCGGAGGGCAAGGCUAUCACCUCUAAUACACUUCCUUCUCUCCAGAUGAUAAUCUGACUUCCUGCCUUUUUGUCAAUGUCACUUUAAUGGCUCCCGUCCCAUUCAUCAGACUCCCUUCCUCCCACAUAGGACUCCUCUGAGUACAGUGUCCACCACAGCUUCUCC